This 435-nucleotide long non-coding RNA is filed under the name Homo sapiens (human). RNAcentral's name for it is "HSALNT0043708". Lineage: Eukaryota; Metazoa; Chordata; Mammalia; Primates; Hominidae. The record is from RNAcentral.
GGAGUUGGGAGGAGGAGCACUGGGGCAUAACCGUCAGCAGCUGCAGCUUGGAGAAGCUGGUUCUCUUGUCUUCAAGAAGGCAGAUCUCUCCCUAGCCUGCUGAGCCUUCUGUGUUUUGGGGAAGCUGAAUACAGACAAUAUGGAGGCCUCAGGCUCAGAGGAUGGCAGAGUCUUCAGAUGGAUGGAGGGAGCUGCAGUCACUGAACCACUGCAGGGAGAGAAGUACUCACAGACCAGGAACGCUCAACUUGGACUGUUAUGUGACAGAAAGAACUUGAUGUAUACCUCCUGACCUGUUCAUCUUGUAGCUGCCUCUUGACAGGUGCCAAGAACUGUGAUUUGUGCUACAGAUACACAGUCUCCUUUCUCAAAGUGUUCUGAGUUCAGUUGGGUUGACAGGCAAGUGAACAGAACAGAUAUUUGCAGUAGGAGGAG